This 253-nucleotide ribosomal RNA is filed under the name uncultured bacterium. RNAcentral's name for it is "partial 16S ribosomal RNA". It matches the Rfam family "Bacterial small subunit ribosomal RNA", at positions 524 to 776 of the family's 1533-position model. The record is from RNAcentral.
UACGUAGGGGGCUAGCGUUGUCCGGAAUCAUUGGGCGUAAAGAGCGUGUAGGCGGCCCGGUAAGUCCGCUGCGAAAGUCGGGGGCUCAACCCUCGAAUGCCGGUGGAUACUGGCGGGCUAGAGUGCGGAAGAGGCGAGUGGAAUUCCUGGUGUAGCGGUGAAAUGCGCAGAUAUCGGGAGGAACACCAGUGGCGAAGGCGAGUCUCUGGGAUGAUGCUGACGCUGAGGCGCGAAAGCCAGGGGAGCAAACGGG